GUGUGUUGUCCGACUAACUCACCCCUUGUGGGCGUAUGUUGUAGCGUUGUCCGUCUAACUCACCCCUUGUGGACGUAUGUUGUAGCAUUGUCCGACUAACUCACCCCUUGUGGACGUAUGUUGUAGCGUUGUCUGACUAACUCACCCCUUGUGGACGUAUGUUGUAGCGUUGUGUGACUAACUCACCCCCUUGUGGACGUAUGUUGUAGCGUUGUCCGACUAACUCACCCCUUGUGGACGUAUGUUGUAGCAUUGUCCGACUAACUCAACCCUUGUGGACGUAUGUUGUAGCAUUGUCCGACUAACUCACCCCUUGUGGACGUGCGUUGUCCGACUAACUCACCCCUUGUGGACGUAUUUUGUAGCGUUGUCCGACUAACUCACCCCUUGUGGACGUAUGUUGUAGCGUUGUCAGACUAACUCACCCCUUGUGGACGUGCGUUGUCCGACUAACUCACCCCUUGUGGACGUGCGUUGUCCGACUAACUCACCCCUUGUGGACGUGCGUUGUCCGACUAACUCACCCCUUGUGGACGUAUGUUGUAGCAUUGUCCGACUAACUCACCCCUUGUGGACGUGCGUUGUCCGACUAACUCACCCCUUGUGGACGUAUAUUGUAGCGUUGUCCGACUAACUCACCCCUUGUGGACGUAUGUUGUAGCGUUGUCCGACUAACUCACCCCUUGUGGACGUAUGUUGUAGCGUUGUCUGACUAACUCACCCCUUGUGGACGUGUGUUGUCCGACUAACUCACCUCUUGUGGACGUAUGUUGUAGCGUUGUCCGACUAACUCACCCCUUGUGGACAUGCGUUGUCCGACUAACUCACCCCUUGUGGACGUGUGUUGUAGCAUUGUCAGACUAACUCACCCCUUGUGGACGUAUGUUGUAGCGUUGUCUGACUAACUCACCCCUUGUGGACGUGUGUUGUCCGACUAACUCACCUCUUGUGGACGUAUGUUGUAGCGUUGUCCGACUAACUCACCCCUUGUGGACGUGCGUUGUCCGACUAACUCACCCCUUGUGGACGUGUGUUGUAGCGUUGUCAGACUAAGUCACCCCUUGUGGACGUAUGUUGUAGCAUUGUCAGACUAACUCACCCCUUGUGGACGUGUGUUGUAGCGUUGUCCGACUAACUCACCCCUUGUGGACGUGCGUUGUCCGACUAACUCACCCCCUGUGGACGUAUGUUGUAGCGUUGUCCGACUAACUCACCCCUUGUGGACGUGUGUUGUCCGACUAACUCACCCCUUGUGGGCGUAUGUUGUAGCGUUGUCCGACUAACUCACCCCUUGUGGACGUAUGUUGUAGCAUUGUCCGACUAACUCACCCCUUGUGGACGUAUGUUGUAGCGUUGUCAGACUAACUCACCCCUUGUGGACGUGCGUUGUCCGACUAACUCACCCCUUGUGGACGUAUGUUGUAGCGUUGUCCGACUAACUGGCCCCUUGUGGACGUGCGUUGUAGCGUUGUCCGAAUAACUCGUCCCUUGUGGACGUGCGUUGUCCGACGAACUCGCCCCUUGUGGACGUGCGUUGUCCGACUAACUCACCCCUUGUGGAUAUAUGUUGUAGCGUUGUCAGACUAACUCACCCCUUGUGGACGUAUGUUGUAGCGUUGUCUGACUAACUCACCCCUUGUGGACGUGUGCUGUCCGACUAACUCACCCCUUGUGGACGUAUGUUGUAGCGUUGUCCGACUAACUCACCCCUUGUGGACGUUCGUUGUCUGACUAACUCACCCCUUGUGGACGUAUGUUGUAGCGUUGUCCGACUAACUCACCCCUUGUGGACGUGCGUUGUCUG
This 1804-nucleotide long non-coding RNA is filed under the name Salmo salar (Atlantic salmon). RNAcentral's name for it is "lncRNA (ENSSSAG00000102852.1)". The record is from RNAcentral. Lineage: Eukaryota; Metazoa; Chordata; Actinopteri; Salmoniformes; Salmonidae.